CCCUUAGAUGUUCUGGGCUGCACGCGCGCUACACUGAUGCAUGCAACGAGUUUUCGACCUUGCCUGAAAAGGUUGGGUAAUCUGUUUAACAUGUGUCGUGAUGGGGAUAGACCAUUGCAAUUAUUGAUCUUGAACGAGGAAUUCCUAGUAAACGCGAGUCAUCAGCUCGCAUUGAUUACGUCCCUGCCCUUUGUACACACCGCCCGUCGCACCUACCGAUUGAAUGUUUCGGUGAAGAUUCCGGAUAGGACUGAUUUGAUUUAUUUCAUUUCUGACCUAAAAGCUAUCUAAACCUCAACAUUUAGAGGAAGGUGAAGUCGUAACA
This 325-nucleotide ribosomal RNA is filed under the name uncultured eukaryote. RNAcentral's name for it is "partial 18S ribosomal RNA". It matches the Rfam family "Eukaryotic small subunit ribosomal RNA", at positions 1470 to 1796 of the family's 1831-position model. The record is from RNAcentral.